This 3009-nucleotide long non-coding RNA is filed under the name Sus scrofa (pig). RNAcentral describes it as "lncRNA (ENSSSCG00015042493.1)". The record is from RNAcentral. Lineage: Eukaryota; Metazoa; Chordata; Mammalia; Artiodactyla; Suidae.
UCGAAUCAGAGCUAUAGCUGCCAGCCUAUACCAGAGCCACAGCAAUGCGGGAUCCAAACCACAUGUGCAACCUCUACCACAGCUCACGGCAACUCUGGAUCCUUAACCCACUGAGCAAGGCCAGGGAUCACACCUGCGUCCUCAUGGAUGAUUGCAAAUGUAUUUAAUGGUGCUCAAUUGUAAAUUUUCUCACGCUUAAAAUGAGAACAAUCAUGAGGUAUAAUGUAUAGUCUCCCCCCAACACACACACAAAAACAACUUUUAAAAAUCUCUAGAAAAGAAAAGUAUUGGCAUUUUUAGGACUAUGAGCAAGUUAUUUAUUUAUAUAAUUGUCUUGGUAGUUUAAAUUGUAAGCUUUCUAAAGCAUCUACGUCAGGGUAAUCUCAUUCAGGUAACUAAAAUUAGAAGUGCUUACUCAGUAAUUAAAUUUUUUUUUCCAUUUGUGUAGGUCAUGUCAUAAAUCCAGUCUAAGACUCUAAUGAAAGCUGGCUCACCAGAAAAAUAAAUUCCUCUACACACACACACACACACACACACACACACACACACACACACUGUUGUAGGGAAUUCAAAUACUCUCUAUGUUCUAUAAAUCAGACUCAGAUUCAGAACAUUUAAGUGACCUUCUCACACAGAGAUGAGGUUCUAAUGAAGAGACAUAAAAGUCACUCAAUACCCCAGACAUGAAGGUAGUUGUAUAAUAUUUCCUUCUCCACUGGAAGUAUGAGAUAUAGUAACAUAUGCUAAUACUUGGAUUGAAAGUAAAAUUUCAUUUGGUUCUACCACAUAUUCCUUUACUGUCAUUUUCUAUUUAAAAGAAAAAAACCCAGGAGGAGAAAAAGGUUACUUUCUGUGGUUCUAACUAAUUUUUGAACUUUUCUAGAAGUAGAAAUACUUACUGAUGAUACAUCACAUGCUUUAAAAUAAUACACUUGACAUUUCAAGAAUUUGUUUAGCUUGAUUUUGACUGACAUGCAUAUGUUGCAUAGCCUGUGUCAUUCAAAUCCUUCUAACCACCUCCUUCAAAGUUACCUGAUAAUCAUUAAUAUUUGUCAUCUGCAUAUUCACUCUAAACACAUUUGGUGAUUCAAUUCGCAAAUUUGGUCUUGCUGUAAAUUCUUAUAUAGAAUUACCCAUAAUUACCGUAUAAUUACUUCUUCACUGUAUUCCUCACAGACGUCAGUCAGAUUUAUCAAGUGUAGACUUAAUAUCAUCUAAACUUUAUUGCCGUAACUUCAAGUACUAGGGGAUGUCUUAUAGUACAAAGCCAUUAGCACUAACUGCUCAUGAAACUUGGUGCCUUAGAGAAACUCAUGGACUUGCAGUCAUUUCUCAGGAGCUAAAAAGCUGUGAUUACCAGUGUGUUUCAUGUUCACCUUCUUAUUUCUCACACACAAUCAUUUAUUUUAUCUCCGAGGUUACAAACAUAGCACUACUCAGUUAUUUACUCUUCAUAAACCAUCUAGUCCCACUUAUGUAUAUCAAAUCAUAAUAGAGAUUAUGAUACAUGAAUGCUUAUAAUAGGCUUAUUAAAACAGGUCGUUACAUUCUUAUUAUUGUUCAAUAUUGACAUCAACAAACUGAGUGACAAUAAAGUGAUUGUCUCAGAACAUGUCAUAAAAAGGCACAAAAGAACAUAAUAAAAUGUUAUUAUGCACCAUAAGGAAAAUAAAUAGUUUGGGGAAUGAAACAGUUGAACCACUAAAAAUGUUGUGAGAAUGAUAAAAAAAAAAAGUCCUUUGUGGCCAAAAUAUAAUAUCAGAUAAAAUCAUGACAUAAAAACUACAUUGGAAAUUAAACUAGUUUCAAAACUUGAAACCAUAUAAAAGUUUAGAUAGCUGGAGAAAAUAUAUUUAAAUUUGUUAUACUCAAACACACAUAAAUGAAUAUUGUAGUUUUUUUAUUAAACCAAAAAUACUGCAUUUCAUGAUUCCAUUUGUAAGAUAGUGUGUAUUAACUUGGACAAAGAUGAGUUUAGAUGUGUGAAUGACUCGCAGUGAUGACGCUUGAGAUAAAACAGUUGAUGGUAUUUCAAUAGUGAAUGGAGGUCUUAAAUACCUUCUCCAGUGUUCAUGAGUCACAACUGAAAAGGAGGAUCAAUUGCAAUCUAAAAGAAUGCCCUUUGAAGAACAGACAGAAGGUAUGAUUGUCUGUAACAAAGUAUGUCCGGAUAUGGGUCCAAUUCUAGUCUCCUCUCCUGAUUUAAGAGUCAGUCUUCCUUGGUUGAUGAAACUGCUAGAGACAAGAUCUUUGACAAUUAAGUUCCUUUUGGAGGAUCUGUUUUGUGUUUCGGUGGACUAAGGGGAGGCCACUGUUAGAGGAUAAACCGAGGCACACUAAACUUUUAAAGAGCUUAUCUUAGCAGGGCAGCCAGUACCAAAGUUUCAAUACCAAACUGAAAGGCAUUAGAGCUCAGGAAAUGCUUAUAUAGAGCAGACACGGAAGUAAAAGUGGUUGCCUUAUUUUGGGAAGUUUAGUUGUGUGUUUGUGAUUGUUUGUUUUUAGGUGUGAUUUCUUAACCUUGAAGCAUUUACAGGAAUUUAUUCUGGCUAUGGUUUCCAUUUGCUCCUGCAGGCUGCCAGGUCAUCAGAGGCCUCAGCCUAAUGGUCUUUUUUAAUCACUUGAACAAGAUAAAGCUUCAUACCACUUUUGCUGUUUUUCAAGUGCCUAUAACUCAAAAUUAUCAAUAUACCAAAGUGGCAUAUUUUGGGGUGGCAUAUUCUUCUAUCCUUUCACCUAAAGAGAAAAGCAGAACAGAUAGGGAAAUUGUGCUUGGUUAGAAGUCUGACGGCAUAUAUUAUAAUCGAUAUUGGAUAUCAGGCCAGAGUAUGGCUUUAGUACGUGUGUUCAAGGAAUAUUUGUACUGAAAGUUUUGUGGGAAAAAAAUUCGAUCUCAGAUCAGUUUGGUCCUAUAUCUUACACUAGGACCAGCAAGUUUAUAUCAGCUUUGAAAGUCCUAUUAGAAAAACUUUUAACUUCAUUAGCCUACUAUUUCCCAUUCUCAUUUAU